Molecule: ribosomal RNA, 480 nt
Filed under: uncultured bacterium
Lineage: Bacteria
Description: partial 16S ribosomal RNA
Rfam family: Bacterial small subunit ribosomal RNA
Source: RNAcentral
GACGAACGCUGGCGGCGCGCUUAACACAUGCAAGUCGAGCGAUGAAACGUUAACAGAACCCUUCGGGGCGAAGAGAAAGUGGAGUAGCGGCGGACGGGUGAGUAACACGUGAGUAACCGGCCUUAGACAUUGGGAUAGCCUCGGGAAACCGGGAUUAAUACCAAAUAAAAUCAUAAUGACACAUGUCAUAACGAUCAAAACUCCGGUGGUCUAAGAUGGACUCGCGUCCCAUUAGCUAGUUGGUAGAGUAAAAGCCUACCAAGGCGACGAUGGGUAGCCGGCCUGAGAGGGUGAGCGGCCACAUUGGAACUGAGCAACGGUCCAAACUCCUACGCGAGGCAGCAGUGGGGAAUAUUGCACAAUGGCGGGAACUCUGAUGCAGCGCCGCCGCGUGAACGAAGAAGGCUUUCGAGUCGUAAAGUUCUUUUAUAUGGGCAGAUAAUGACGGUACCAUAAGAAAAAGCCCCGGCUAACUACGUG